Molecule: ribosomal RNA, 487 nt
Filed under: uncultured bacterium
Lineage: Bacteria
Description: bacterial SSU rRNA
Rfam family: Bacterial small subunit ribosomal RNA
Source: RNAcentral
GAUGAACGCUAGGCGGGAGGCUUAACACAUGCAAGUCGAGGGGCAGCAUAGGGUAGCAAUACUCUGAUGGCGACCGGCAAACGGGUGAGUAACGCGUAUGCAACCUACCCUGUACAGGGGGAUAACCCGGAGAAAUUCGGACUAAUAUCCCGUAAUAAUAUCCGGAGGCAUCUUUGGAUAUUAAAGUUCCGACGGUACGGGAUGGGCAUGCGUAACAUUAGCUGGUUGGUAAGGUAACGGCUUACCAAGGCUAUGAUGUUUAGGGGUCCUGAGAGGGUGGUCCCCCACACUGGUACUGAGACACGGCCCAGACUCCUACGGGAGGCAGCAGUGAGGAAUAUUGGUCAAUGGGCGCAAGCCUGAACCAGCCAUCCCGCGUGCAGGAAGACGGCCCUAUGGGUUGUAAACUGCUUUUCCAGGGAGAGAAACUUACGCACGUGUUGCGUGACUGACGGUACCCUGGGAAUAAGCAUCGGCUAACUCCGUG